AUUUCCUAGCACAGGGUUAGGACACAUUUUCACUGUGUCCUACGCUUGUUUUAAUAUUGCAACAUCUCCAGUCUCUCUGAGAACACAUUUUAGGAUUUAUUUCAUGUUCUCUUCUGUUCCUGGCACAACAUCUGCCUCCUCCAGAAUUGUUUUCUGUGCCUGUUUGUUUUGACACCUCUCUUCCAUGUUGGAGGUUCCCAUUUGGAGAAGUUUAUUCAUGCUGAGGAACAAGACGAGUAAAUCUGGUGAGAGCCGUGUAGCCUGGACAGAACUUGCUGAUUUUGCCAAUUUGCUCUAAGUGAGACCAGUUUUAAGAAGCAAGUGAACCACUACCUGCCUGAAAAAACUAAGAUAGUCUCUAAAUGGUAGAAGGUAAAGAGCAUUCCCCUGGAGGCUGCCAGUUUCUCUGGAAGAGAAUACUCCUUUUUUCAAAGUCUGGGAAUCGAAGCCUGGCUUCUAGGCAUUAUGUUCUCCGGGUAAAAUGUACACAUCGUGGCCGGGCAUGGGGGCUCACGCCCAUAAUCCUAGCACUUUGGGAGGCCAAGGCGAGUGGAACAUUUGAGGUCAGGAGUUUGAAACCAGCCUGGCCAACAUGAUACUCUGCUGAGCACUUAAAAACGUCAUGUUGCUCAGGCUGGUCUGGAGCUCCUGGAUACAAGAAAUCUUCCCGCUUGGUCUCCCACAGUGCUGGGAUUACAGGUGUGAGCCACCAUACCUGGCCUUUGAUGCAAUAUUUUAAAAAAUCAAA
This is a long non-coding RNA of Pan troglodytes (chimpanzee), 748 nucleotides long. RefSeq lists it as uncharacterized. Lineage: Eukaryota; Metazoa; Chordata; Mammalia; Primates; Hominidae. The record is from RefSeq and is a predicted model, not a curated record. The transcript has 4 exons.